RNAcentral lists this long non-coding RNA (339 nucleotides) under Vitis vinifera (wine grape). RNAcentral describes it as "long non-coding RNA (VVIN_LNC005673)". The record is from RNAcentral. Lineage: Eukaryota; Viridiplantae; Streptophyta; Magnoliopsida; Vitales; Vitaceae.
UGCCUCCACCUUCGUCGUCACUAUUUUCGAUACACUGGAUUCGCUCGCUUUAUAUUGUACAGUUGCCAACUUAAUUCCAGAUUCAACUUUCUUAACCCCAAGCUCGACUGAUGAUGCCUUUGCAUCACCACUCAGCAGCUCUGUCAUCUCCUUUUCCUUCUGCUUCGCCUCACCGCUCAGCAGCUCUGACAUCUCCUUUUCCUUCUGCUUUGCCUCACCACUCAGUAGUUGAGCCAUCUCUUUUUCCUUCUGUUUCUUCUCCUUUUUCAACCGCUUCCGUUCCAGAUACUCUGGAUCUUCCCGCUUCCUUUUUUUCUCUUUCUCCUUCUUCUCUUUUGC